CUGAGUGUACACCCAUGCCAGUGCCCUCCACUGCAUCCUCGUCUCCCCAGAGAAACAGGUCUGUCCAGCUCUGUGCGUUACUGCAUCCUCUUCCUCCUGGCCCUCCUCCUCCUCCUCCUCCUCCCCUCCUUCUCUCCAUCUUGUCUGAAACAGCGGCGGCUCAUCCUCCAGCUCCAUGCUGGCACCUGAUGAUGAUGAUGAUGAUACAGGUAGAGCGUUCAGGCCUCUUGGGUCCACUUUUAAUGUGAACUUCUGCUCUGGAAUUUCACCUCUUCCAUGCUCUGACAUGGGAAAAAAAAAUUUUUAUUAGAUUUUUUUUUCAUAGUAACUCAAUAACACACAAAGAUAAAGAGAAACCUCAGAAAA
Long non-coding RNA from Thalassophryne amazonica, 366 nucleotides. RefSeq lists it as uncharacterized. Lineage: Eukaryota; Metazoa; Chordata; Actinopteri; Batrachoidiformes; Batrachoididae. The record is from RefSeq and is a predicted model, not a curated record. The transcript has 2 exons.